AGCGGGAGAUCCGAGCGUCUCGGCUGGUGGAAGGGGCGAGGAGCUUUGCAGUUGUGUGCGAGUGUGUACAGGGACAGAGUCCUGAGCAAGGAAACCUAGAAGGGAGAGAGGAAUACCAUGGAAUUGAGUCCUGUCUGGUAGCACUGACAGACACAGUGGCCAGCCACCCUCAUGCCACCCUGUCCUGCCAUGGGAAGGAACAGCAGCUCUAGAGUUCCUAUGGGAACUCUCUUUCCUUCUCACUGAACUCUAGCUUCAUCAAUAACUCAGUGCCUCUGGCCAAGUUUUUAGCCUCUGGGACAACAUCCACUAUAUCCAUAUGAGGCACUCAUGUAACACGGUGAUUAAGAGUACAGAUGCUGAAGCCAGCAGCCUAAGUCUGAAUCCUGACUGCCAAUUAUUAAUAUAAGUUGUGGAACCAUGGUCAAGUUACUCAACCUCUUUAUGCCUCUGUCUCCUGGUCUACGAAAUGAAGCUUUGAAUCUGCUGUUAUUAAGUUGCUGGUGCUGAAAUAACACUUAUUAUUUAUGAUCUAACUGAAAUGGGAACACUGGAAACUUCUUUGAAACUGAAGAAAAAAAUGAAAAAGAAGUUUUUACAAUCAAAACUGCCAUGAAGACUGCUUUACCCAAAAUUUUGGUCCACAGCUUUCAUUGAAUUACUUAUCAGGGCAAACAAAGUUUAGCCAUGUGAACACGUUCCAAUUUUGUUGGAAAUAAUUUGGAUCCAGCUAUCUUUAUACAAUGGUGAGUUCGUAUUGCAUCUCAUGGCUAAAAUACUGAGGUAAAGGCUUUUGGAUCUUUGUGUGUGUGUGUGUGCAUGUGACAAAAACAAGCAAUGGGGAAAGGAGUCCCUAUUUAAUAAAUGGUGUUGGGAGAACUGGCUAGCCAUAUGCAGAAAGUUGAAACUGGAGCCCCUCCUUAUACCAUAUACAAAAAUCAACUCAAGAUGAAUUAAAGACUUAAAUGUAAAAACCCAAACUAUAAAAACCCUAGAAGAAAAUCUAGGCAAUACCAUUCAGGACAUGGGCACAGGCAAAUAUUUCAUGACAAAGAUGCCAAAAGCAGUAGCAACAAAAGCAAAAAUUGACAAAUGGAAUCUAAUUAAACUAAAGAGCUUCUGUACAGCAAAGAAAUUAUCAUCAGAGUGAACAGACAGCUUACAGCAUGGGAGAAAAUUUUUGCAGUAUAUCCAUCUGACAAAGGUCUAAUAUUCAGCAUCUACAAGGAACUUAAACAAAUUUACAAGAAAAAAAAACAACGCCAUUAAAAAAUGGGCAAAGGACGUGGACAGACACUUCUCAAAAGAAGAAAUUUAUGUGGGCAAUGAACAUUUUUUUUAAAAAAGCUCAACACCACUGAUCAUUAGAGAAAUGCACAUGAAAACCACAAUGAGAUACCAUCUCACACCAGUCAGAAUGGCUAUUACUUAAAGGUCAAAAAACAACAGAUGAUAGCAAGGUUGUGAAGAAAAAUGAACACUUUUAUACGUUGGUUGGAGUAUAAAUUAGUUCUACCCUUGUCGAAGACAGUGUGGUGAUUCCUCAAAGACCUAGGGGAAGAAAUAUCAUUUGACCCAGCAAUCUCAUUACUGGGUAUAUACCCAGAGGAAUAUAAAUCAUUCUAUUAUAAAGAUACAUGUGCAUGUUCAUUGCAAAAUAGCAAAAACAUGGAAUCAACCUAAAUGCUCAUCAAUGACAGACUUGAUAAAGGAAAUAUGGUACGUAUACACCAAGGAAUACCAUGCAGCCAUAAAAAGGAACAAGAUAAUGUCUUUUGCAGGGACCUGGAUGGAACCAGAAGCCAUUAUCCUCAGCAAAUUAAUGCAGGAACAGAAAAGCAAAUACCACAUGUUCUCACUUGUAAGUGGUAGCUGAAUGAUGAGAACACAUGGACACAUGGUGGGGAACAAUACACACUGGGGCCUGUUGCAGGGUGCGGAGUGGGAGGGAGAGCAUCGGGAAGAAUAGCUAAUGCAUGCUGGGCUUAAUACCUAGGGGAUGGAAUGAUCUGUGCUGCAAACCACUAUGGCACACAUUUACCUAUGUAACAAACCUACACAUCCUGCACAUGUACCCCUGACCUUAAAAUAAAAGUUGGAAAUAAAAAAAACCCUAAACAUAUACCUAC
RNAcentral lists this long non-coding RNA (2129 nucleotides) under Homo sapiens (human). RNAcentral describes it as "HSALNT0262803". The record is from RNAcentral. Lineage: Eukaryota; Metazoa; Chordata; Mammalia; Primates; Hominidae.